RNAcentral lists this ribosomal RNA (117 nucleotides) under Saimiri boliviensis boliviensis (Bolivian squirrel monkey). The record is from RNAcentral. Lineage: Eukaryota; Metazoa; Chordata; Mammalia; Primates; Cebidae.
GUCUACGGCCAUACCACACUAAACGCCCGAUCUCAUCUGAUCUCGGCAGCUAAGCAGGGUCGGGCCUGGUUAGUACUUGGAUGGGAGACCGCUUGGGAAUACUGGGUGCUGUAGGCU